CAUGGCUCAGGACGAACGCGGGGGCGUGCUUAACACAUGCAAGUCGAACGCUGAAGCCUGGUGCUUGCACCGGGGGUGAGUGGCGAACGGGUGAGUAAUACGUGAGUGACCUGCCUUUGACUCUGGGAUAAGCCUGGGAAACUGGGUCUAAUACCGGAUGCGACUACUGCCCGCAUGGGCUGGUGGUGGAAAGGGUUAUGUACUGGUCUUAGAUGGGCUCACGGCCUAUCAGCUGGUUGGUGGGGUAAUGGCCUACCAAGGCGACGACGGGUAGCCGGCCUGAGAGGGUGACCGGCCACACUGGGACUGAGACACGGCCCAGACUCCUACGGGAGGCAGCAGUGGGGAAUAUUGCACAAUGGGCGCAAGCCUGAUGCAGCGACGCCGCGUGAGGGAUGACGGCCUUCGGGUUGUAAACCUCUUUCAGCAGGGAAGAAGCGGAAGUGACG
Molecule: ribosomal RNA, 449 nt
Filed under: uncultured bacterium
Lineage: Bacteria
Description: bacterial SSU rRNA
Rfam family: Bacterial small subunit ribosomal RNA
Source: RNAcentral